GCUGAAAGAUGGCCUCGCGUCUGAUUAGAUAGUUGGUGGGGUAACGGCCUACCAAGUCGACGAUCAGUAGCCGGUCUGAGAGGAUGAACGGCCACAUUGGGACUGAGAUACGGCCCAGACUCCUACGGGAGGCAGCAGUGGGGAAUAUUGGGCAAUGGGGGAAACCCUGACCCAGCAACGCCGCGUGAAGGAAGAAGGCCUUCGGGUUGUAAACUUCUUUUACCAGGGACGAAGGACGUGACGGUACCUGGAGAAAAAGCAACGGCUAACUACGUGCCAGCAGCCGCGGUAAUACGUAGGUUGCAAGCGUUGUCCGGAUUUACUGGGUGUAAAGGGCGUGUAGGCGGAGGAGCAAGUCAGAUGUGAAAUCCAUGGGCUUAACCCAUGAACUGCAUUUGAAACUGUUUCCCUUGAGUAUCGGAGAGGCAAGCGGAAUUCCUAGUGUAGCGGUGAAAUGCGUAGAUAUUAGGAGGAACACCAGUGGCGAAGGCGGCUUGCUGGACGACAACUGACGCUGAGGCGCGAAAGCGUGGGGAGCAAACAGGAUUAGAUACCCUGGUAGUCCACGCUGUAAACGAUGAAUACUAGGUGUGGGAGGACUGACCCCUUCCGUGCCGCAGUUAACACAAUAAGUAUUCCACCUGGGG
RNAcentral lists this ribosomal RNA (647 nucleotides) under uncultured bacterium. RNAcentral's name for it is "bacterial SSU rRNA". It matches the Rfam family "Bacterial small subunit ribosomal RNA", at positions 217 to 878 of the family's 1533-position model. The record is from RNAcentral.